UCUCCGUCUCUGAGAAACCCUAAACCCAGCACCAUCACUAUCCCACCGUCGCACUCUUCUCAUCGUUCUCCUCCUCAUCGCCGUCAGUCGGUCGUCGUCUCUUGGAAUCGUUACUCUUCUUGUCGCCGUCGGCCGGUCGUCGUCUUUUCGGCGAUCUCUCUCUCUCUCGCCCUCUUCAAGGUCAACAACACCUAUUAUCGUCACCUCCCCUCGACGUCGAGUCUGAGCUGUUGGCAUCGCUGCCGCGAAGGACUGCUCCGUCAUCGUCGCUGCUCGAUUUGUUAGUGUCCGUCUCUCUCUUCGAGUUUUCUCUCUGUCUGAGGAUGGCUGAUUACUCGUGAGAAUUCAGGGGAAAAAUAAUGUUGUUGCUGUCUCUGUGUUAAUUGGAGAACUUGACUUAUUUGAACUUGUCACAUGCUGGAUUUGUGGGAAAAUAUUGUUGUUGCUGCCUCUGUGUUACAUGCUUGGUUACUCUUGAUCUUUCACUAUCUUUCGACAUGAAUGGUGCAAUGCUUUGUUGUUACUGCCUCACCUCCAAGAAUUGACACUUUCUCCAGAGAUCUUCCAUAUUGACAUCCCAGUAACUCAAGACCUCCAUGGUUUCUUUUUGAACUUUCCACUCAAUGGAUCUCUUCAUACCAUAAUAGUAGGUCACACAAACUUCAGUGUGUUAAGUUUUUGGUUUCUAUAAUUGUUAUGUAAUUGGAAUAAUUGUUGAUGGUUGAUUUCAGUGAAUCUGGGAUAAUUUUGUCCUGCUGUUUUACUUGGAUGAUAGUUGAUGGUGUUUUGUUAAAUUAUCUGAAAUAAUUUUAUUGA
Long non-coding RNA from Arachis duranensis, 816 nucleotides. RefSeq lists it as uncharacterized. NCBI's taxonomy places the organism in Eukaryota, Viridiplantae, Streptophyta, Magnoliopsida, Fabales, Fabaceae. The transcript has 2 exons. The record is from RefSeq and is a predicted model, not a curated record.